This 460-nucleotide ribosomal RNA is filed under the name uncultured bacterium. Its description in RNAcentral is "partial 16S ribosomal RNA". It matches the Rfam family "Bacterial small subunit ribosomal RNA", at positions 338 to 795 of the family's 1533-position model. The record is from RNAcentral.
CCUACGGGAGGCAGCAGUGAGGAAUAUUGGUCAAUGGACGAGAGUCUGAACCAGCCAAGUAGCGUGAAGGAUGACUGCCCUAUGGGUUGUAAACUUCUUUUAUAUGGGAAUAAAACGUUCCACGCCCCCCCCCCCCCCCCUCCCCCACCCCCCCCCCCCCCCUAACCCCCCGCCAGCAGCCGCGGUAAUACGGAGGCUCCGCGCGUUAUCCGGAUUUAUUGGGUUUAAAGGGAGCGUAGGUGGAUUGUUAAGUCAGUUGUGAAAGUUUGCGGCUCAACCGUAAAAUUGCAGAUGAAACUGGCAGUCUUGAGUACAGUAGAGGUGGGCGGAAUUCGUGGUGUAGCGGUGAAAUGCUUAGAUAUCACGAAGAACUCCGAUUGCGAAGGCAGCUCACUGGACUGCAACUGACACUGAGGCUCGAAAGUGUGGGUAUCAAACAGGAUUAGAUACCCGUGUAGUC